Pelobates cultripes (western spadefoot toad) is the source of this 1049-nucleotide non-coding RNA. The record is from the annotation of a GenBank genome assembly. Lineage: Eukaryota; Metazoa; Chordata; Amphibia; Anura; Pelobatidae.
UGUAUAACAGUGUAAACUUGCUGUCCCCUCGAAAUAACUCAACACACAGCCAUUAAUGUCUAAACCGUUGGCAACAAAAGUGAGUACACCCCUAAGUGGAAAUGUCCAAAUUGGGGCCAAUUAGCCAUUUUCCCUCCCCCGUGUCAUGUGACUCGUUAGUGUUACAAGGUCUCAGGUGUGAAUGGCGGACUGGUGUGUUAAAUUUGGUGUUAUCGCUCUCUCAUACUGGUCACUGGAAGUUCAACAUGGCACCUCGUGGCAAAGAACUCUCUGAGGAUCUGAAAAAAAGAAUUGUUGCUCUACAUAAAGAUGGCCUAAGCUAUCAGAUGAUUGCCAAGACCCUGAAACUGAACUUCAGCAUGGUGGGCAAGACCAUACAGCGGUUUCACAGGACAGGUUCCACUCAGAAUAGGCCUCGCCAUGGUCGACCAAAGAAGUUGAAUGCACAUGCUCAGCGUCAUAUCCAGAGGUUGUCUAUGGGAAAUAGACGUAUAAGUGCUGCCAGCAUAGCUGCAGAGGUUGAAGGGGUGGUGUAUUCUGGUUUUGUACUGCCUUAGGCAUGACAAAACUCAGGCACCUCCCCCCCUUCUAAAUAUCACUUACUGUUAAAAACCAACACACUCUUUGCCUAACAGACACACUGACAUACAGUGACAUACACUCACUGACAGAUACACAGUCAUUGUCACACACACUGUUUAACCAACACACACUUUGACUGAAACAUACAAACUCACUGACAGACACGCACACUCACAUUCACCGACAAACACAUUAACUGACAGAUACACAUACACACAUUUACUGACAAACGCACACUCACUCAGUGUCAGACACACACUGACAAACACACAUAACUGACGGACACAUAUACACACAGUGUCAGAGACACACAUUCGAUAACAGACCUACACAUUGACUGACAGUUACACACUCUCAGUGACAGACACGCAUACACACACUGACAGACAUACACAUUCACUAACAGACAUAAACACUCUCACUGACACACACUCUGACAGACACACACACACUAACACACACUCACU